Haliotis rubra (blacklip abalone) is the source of this 198-nucleotide long non-coding RNA. RefSeq lists it as uncharacterized. NCBI's taxonomy places the organism in Eukaryota, Metazoa, Mollusca, Gastropoda, Lepetellida, Haliotidae. The transcript has 3 exons. The record is from RefSeq and is a predicted model, not a curated record.
AUUCUGAAGAUCGUGUUAUAGACUGUGUGGUUGCUGUUGUGAUCGUCAGUGAUAUGAUUGAUAUAUAACCAAACAAGAUUUGCCUCCGAUAUGAAAGCAGGGAUCUGUAUCUGACGAGCUGUGAUUAAAGCCACAGGUAACGCCGUCCCGUGACAAGAUGAACCCAAACAACAACAACAACCACCAACAACAACAACG